RNAcentral lists this ribosomal RNA (492 nucleotides) under uncultured bacterium. RNAcentral describes it as "partial 16S ribosomal RNA". It matches the Rfam family "Bacterial small subunit ribosomal RNA", at positions 29 to 507 of the family's 1533-position model. The record is from RNAcentral.
AGUGAACGCUGGCGGUAGGCCUAACACAUGCAAGUCGAACGGCAGCACAGUAAGAGCUUGCUCUUACGGGUUGCGAGUGGCGGACGGGUGAGGAAUACAUCGGAAUCUACUUUUUCGUGGGGGAUAACGUAGGUAAACUUACGCUAAUACCGCAUACGACCUACGGGUGAAAGCAGGGGAUCUUCGGACCUUGCGCGAUUGAAUGAGCCGAUGUCGGAUUAGCUAGUUGGCGGGGUAAAGGCCCACCAAGGCGACGAUCCGUAGCUGGUCUGAGAGGAUGAUCAGCCACACUGGAACUGAGACACGGUCCAGACUCCUACGGGAGGCAGCAGUGGGGAAUAUUGGACAAUGGGCGCAAGUCUGAUCCAGCCAUACCGCGUGGGUGAAGAAGGCCUUCGGGUUGUAAAGCCCUUUUGUUGGGAAAGAAAAGCAGCAGGUUAAUACCCCGCUGUUCUGACGGUACCCAAAGAAUAAGCACCGGCUAACUUCGUG